RNAcentral lists this ribosomal RNA (305 nucleotides) under uncultured bacterium. RNAcentral describes it as "bacterial SSU rRNA". It matches the Rfam family "Bacterial small subunit ribosomal RNA", at positions 337 to 640 of the family's 1533-position model. The record is from RNAcentral.
CUCCUAGGGGCGCAGCAGUGAGGAAUAUUGGUCAAUGGUCGGGAGACUGAACCAGCCAAGCCGCGUGAGGGAUGAAGGUACAGAGUAUCGUAAACCUCUUUUGUCAGGGAACAAAGGCGGGGGCGUGUCCCCGGAUGAGUGUACCUGAAGAAAAAGCAUAGGCUAACUCCGUGCCAGCAGCCGCGGGAAUACGGAGGAUGCGAGCGUUAUCCGGAGUUAUUGGGGUUAAAGGGGGCGCAGGCGGUCUGUUAAGUCAGCGGUCAAAGCCCGGGGCGCAACCCCGGCCCGGCGUUGAAACUGGCAGG